This 460-nucleotide ribosomal RNA is filed under the name uncultured bacterium. Its description in RNAcentral is "partial 16S ribosomal RNA". It matches the Rfam family "Bacterial small subunit ribosomal RNA", at positions 338 to 795 of the family's 1533-position model. The record is from RNAcentral.
UCUACGGGUGGCAGCAGUGAGGAAUAUUGGUCAAUGGACGCGAGCCUGAACCAGCCAAGUAGCGUGAAGGAUGACAGCCCUAUGGGUUGUAAACUUCUUUUGUAAGGGAAUAAAGUGAGACACGUGUGUCUGUCUGUAAGUAUCUUAUGAAUAAGGAUCGGCUAACUCCGUGCCAGCAGCCGCGGUAAUACGGAGGAUUCAAGCGUUAUCCGGAUUUAUUGGGUUUAAAGGGUGCGUAGGCGGUCGGUUAAGUUAGUGGUGAAAUUUUGCGGCUCAACCUUGAAAUUGCCGUUGAUACUGGGCGUCUAGAGUGUAGUUGCGGUAGGCGGAAUUGGUGGUGUAGCGGUGAAAUGCUUAGAGAUCACAAAGAACUCCGAUUGCGAAGGCAGCUUACCAAGCUACCUCUGACGUUGAGGCUCGAAAGUGUGGGGAGCAAACAGGAUUAGAUACCCGGGUAGUC